GUGCUGACGAGUGGCGAACGGGUGAGUAAUGUAUCGGAACGUGCCCAGUCGUGGGGGAUAACGCAGCGAAAGCUGCGCUAAUACCGCAUACGAUCUAUGGAUGAAAGCGGGGGACCGUAAGGCCUCGCGCGAUUGGAGCGGCCGAUAUCAGAUUAGGUAGUUGGUGGGGUAAAGGCUCACCAAGCCAACGAUCUGUAGCUGGUCUGAGAGGACGACCAGCCACACUGGGACUGAGACACGGCCCAGACUCCUACGGGAGGCAGCAGUGGGGAAUUUUGGACAAUGGGCGCAAGCCUGAUCCAGCAAUGCCGCGUGCAGGAAGAAGGCCUUCGGGUUGUAAACUGCUUUUGUACGGAACGAAACGACUCUGGUUAAUACCCGGGGUUAAUGACGGUACCGUAAGAAUAAGCACCGGCUAACUACGUGCCAGCAGCCGCGGUAAUACGUAGGGUGCAAGCGUUAAUCGGAAUUACUGGGCGUAAAGCGUGCGCAGGCGGUGAUGUAAGACAGUCGUGAAAUCCCCGGGCACAACCUGGGA
RNAcentral lists this ribosomal RNA (538 nucleotides) under uncultured Hydrogenophaga sp. RNAcentral's name for it is "bacterial SSU rRNA". It matches the Rfam family "Bacterial small subunit ribosomal RNA", at positions 85 to 619 of the family's 1533-position model. The record is from RNAcentral. Lineage: Bacteria; Pseudomonadati; Pseudomonadota; Betaproteobacteria; Burkholderiales; Comamonadaceae.